Small nuclear RNA from Hemicordylus capensis (graceful crag lizard), 166 nucleotides. RefSeq annotates it as U1 spliceosomal RNA. NCBI's taxonomy places the organism in Eukaryota, Metazoa, Chordata, Lepidosauria, Squamata, Cordylidae. The transcript has a single exon. The record is from RefSeq and is a predicted model, not a curated record.
AUAAUUGUUUAUCAUUGAUAACACCUUGAUCAUGAAGGAGGUUUUCCCAGGGUAAGGCUCAUCCAUUGCACUGCAGGUGUGCUGACCCCUGUGAUUUCCCCAAAUGCGGGAAACUUGACUGCAUAAUUUGUGGUAAAGGUGAAGUGUGCCAUCGAGUUGAUUUAGA